Molecule: ribosomal RNA, 305 nt
Filed under: uncultured bacterium
Lineage: Bacteria
Description: bacterial SSU rRNA
Rfam family: Bacterial small subunit ribosomal RNA
Source: RNAcentral
GCUCCUACGGGACGCAGCAGUGGGGAAUCUUGCGCAAUGGGCGAAAGCCUGACGCAGCGACGCCGCGUGAGUGAUGAAGGCCUUCGGGGUGUAAAGCUCUGUGGGGAGAGAAGAAUUAGUGCGGGCUAAUACUCCGCAUGAUGACGGUAUCUCCUUAGCAAGCACCGGCUAACUCUGUGCCAGCAGCCGCGGUAAGACAGAGGGUGCAAACGUUGUUCGGAAUUACUGGGCGUAAAGCGUGUGUAGGCGGCCAUGUAAGUUGGAUGUGAAAGCCCCGGGCUCAACCCGGGAAGUGCAUUCAAGAC